This 492-nucleotide ribosomal RNA is filed under the name uncultured bacterium. Its description in RNAcentral is "partial 16S ribosomal RNA". It matches the Rfam family "Bacterial small subunit ribosomal RNA", at positions 29 to 507 of the family's 1533-position model. The record is from RNAcentral.
AGUGAACGCUGGCGGUAGGCCUAACACAUGCAAGUCGAGCGGCAGCACAGUAAGAGCUUGCUCUUACGGGUGGCGAGUGGCGGACGGGUGAGGAAUACAUCGGAAUCUACUUUUUCGUGGGGGAUAACGUAGGGAAACUUACGCUAAUACCGCAUACGACCUACGGGUGAAAGCAGGGGAUCUUCGGACCCUGCGCGAUUGAAUGAGCCGAUGUCGGAUUAGCUAGUUGGCGGGGUAAAGGCCCACCAAGGCGACGAUCCGUAGCUGGUCUGAGAGGAUGAUCAGCCACACUGGAACUGAGACACGGUCCAGACCCCUACGGGAGGCAGCAGUGGGGAAUAUUGGACAAUGGGCGCAAGCCUGAUCCAGCCAUACCGCGUGGGUGAAGAAGGCCUUCGGGUUGUAAAGCCCUUUUGUUGGGAAAGAAAAGCAGCAGGUUAAUACCCCGCUGUUCUGACGGUACCCAAAGAAUAAGCACCGGCUAACUUCGUG